GUCCCCGCAGCUCCGGAAGUGUUCUGCGCAGCGCGUCACUUCCGGUAGGGGUCGGCCUGCGGUCGUCGGGGGAGGCUCCCAGGCUUCGGACCAAUGCGUGGUCGUAGGAAUUGCUUCCUCGCGGUCCUAGGUUGAGACCCGCUGGGGAGAAAGUACGGAGCGUUCGCUUCUGAAGGAAUGAUGUAGACGUACAUGUGUUUCCUGCGUUAGCCUACCAGCAUCUUUAUUCGAUUAUAUACAUAUACACACAUAGAGAGAGAACGUCUACUCACUUCAACUGUUUAUACUCUGAUGUACAGCAUGAGAAGACAUUCUGGCAGCCCUGGAGUAGGUAAAAGGAUCAUCGUUUCCGGGCAACUAUGGUUUGACAUUAGCUAUACUCGGAAUUUCUAUGGACGUUAGGAGGAAGUUCUGGCCCCGUGAGCAUCAGACUUUAGUUUCUCAUGACAUUACCUCUCUAGCCACCCACUUCCCCAACUUCCACUCACCUUCACGACCGAUAUUUUUUGUUUGGUUUGGUUGUAUUUAGAAGCAACUCAUUAUAUAGCCAAGGCUGGUUUGCCUUGCUAGAUUACCAGACGCAGCGAUUCAUACAUCGUAAGUGUUUCGAUGCACAAUUUCUACCCACAAUAUAGACUGUGUUAGGAUUCCAGUCCCUUUCUGGUAGUGGUCACCAAGCCUUGUGACAGGAGGCUCACUCAAGUAGCAGCUCCAUCGAGAUGUUAGUUAACACUGGAGUGAAGCCAGAGGUGCUGUGAGGUAAAUGUUUCUGCAAGUCUGUAGAUAACCUAUUUCUACCUCUCCUGGAGUGUAUGUAUUCAAGACACCCGGGAAAAUGAGGCAGAAAGAAAAAAAGGCUGUAUAAUAGACUCUUUUAUGUAA
Mastomys coucha (southern multimammate mouse) is the source of this 882-nucleotide long non-coding RNA. RefSeq lists it as uncharacterized. The record is from RefSeq and is a predicted model, not a curated record. The transcript is spliced from 2 exons. NCBI's taxonomy places the organism in Eukaryota, Metazoa, Chordata, Mammalia, Rodentia, Muridae.